Molecule: ribosomal RNA, 253 nt
Filed under: uncultured bacterium
Lineage: Bacteria
Description: partial 16S ribosomal RNA
Rfam family: Bacterial small subunit ribosomal RNA
Source: RNAcentral
UCCGGAGGGGGCGAGCGUUAUUCGGAAUUAUUGGGCGUAAAGGGCGCGUAGGCGGCUUGAUGUGUCAAAGGUGAAAUCCCUCGGCUCAACUGAGGAACUGCCUUUGAAACUGUCUGGCUUGAGGCCGGGAGAGGGUAGCGGAAUUCCCAGUGUAGCGGUGAAAUGCGUAGAUACUGGGAGGAACACCGGUGGCGAAGGCGGCUACCUGGACCGGUUCUGACGCUGAUGCGCGAAAGCGUGGGUAGCAAACAGG